CACACCGCCCGUCAAACCACGAAAGUUGCAUAAGCCAGAAGCAGGUGGGCUAACCGCAAGGGGGCAGCCUGCCAAGGCUUGUGUGAUGAUUGGGGUU
This 97-nucleotide ribosomal RNA is filed under the name uncultured bacterium. RNAcentral describes it as "partial 16S ribosomal RNA". It matches the Rfam family "Bacterial small subunit ribosomal RNA", at positions 1386 to 1482 of the family's 1533-position model. The record is from RNAcentral.